GACGAACGCUGGCGGCGCGCCUAACACAUGCAAGUCGAACGAGCGAGCGAGAGCUUGCUUUCUCUAGCGAGUGGCGAACGGGUGAGUAACGCGUGAGGAACCUGCCUCAAAGAGGGGGACAACAGUUGGAAACGACUGCUAAUACCGCAUAAGCCCACAGGUCGGCAUCGACCAGAGGGAAAAGGAGCAAUCCGCUUUGAGAUGGCCUCGCGUCCGAUUAGCUAGUUGGUGAGGUAACGGCCCACCAAGGCAACGAUCGGUAGCCGGACUGAGAGGUUGAACGGCCACAUUGGGACUGAGACACGGCCCAGACUCCUACGGGAGGCAGCAGUGGGGAAUAUUGCACAAUGGGGGAAACCCUGAUGCAGCGACGCCGCGUGAAGGAAGAAGGUCUUCGGAUUGUAAACUCCUGUUGUUGGGGAAGAUAAUGACGGUACUCAACAAGAAAGUGACGGCUAACUACGUG
RNAcentral lists this ribosomal RNA (466 nucleotides) under uncultured bacterium. RNAcentral describes it as "partial 16S ribosomal RNA". It matches the Rfam family "Bacterial small subunit ribosomal RNA", at positions 28 to 507 of the family's 1533-position model. The record is from RNAcentral.